RNAcentral lists this ribosomal RNA (253 nucleotides) under uncultured bacterium. Its description in RNAcentral is "partial 16S ribosomal RNA". It matches the Rfam family "Bacterial small subunit ribosomal RNA", at positions 524 to 776 of the family's 1533-position model. The record is from RNAcentral.
UACGUAGGGUGCGAGCGUUGUCCGGAAUUAUUGGGCGUAAAGAGCUUGUAGGCGGUUUGUCGCGUCUGCCGUGAAAGCCCAGGGCUUAACCCUGGGUCUGCGGUGGGUACGGGCAGACUAGAGUGUGGUAGGGGAGACUGGAAUUCCUGGUGUAGCGGUGAAAUGCGCAGAUAUCAGGAGGAACACCGAUGGCGAAGGCAGGUCUCUGGGCCGUUACUGACGCUGAGGAGCGAAAGCGUGGGGAGCGAACAGG